AUAUUAGAGUUUAUUGGUAUUGUACAGAUGUGUAUAAUCACUGCUUUUCCCUGUUUGAAUAGCAGCCAUCUGUUUGUCUUUGAAUGAUUGCGGCAUUUAAUAAAUACACUUCUGUCUGUAUCUGAGAAGUAUUCACUCUUUCUCUGCCAGUGGAAGCAGGAUGGCAAGACACAAAAUGAUCUUCAUCUAUUAAUGCCAACUAAUGUAUAUAAGUAUUGUAACUGGCUGUCCUGAUUUUGAUCAGGUCACCAUGCCAAAGAGAAGCUGUAAUCACAUCAACCAUAUUGAUAUUCAAAUGUGAUUCCAUUUUUAUGUCCAUGUUGUUGCAACUCUGUGCUUCCCUCAGACUACCAGUACCAAAAACUUUCGUGGUCUGUGAGGUGGUCCUCUCAUUUCACUUGACACUAUGCUGGGAUCUGAACGACAAUUCAGAGUUAAAUACUUCAGAUAGUGAGAAACUGAGUUCCUCAUCAAUGUAUGUAAAGAAUACAACAACUUCAUUGCUAGAGGCUUUUGUCCUUUUCUCAGUAAUUUACUCACAAGGCUAGGAAGACCCACCAAGGAUGUUAAUAAACCUUACUGCUGAGAUUGCCCUUCAAAGCUCCUCCAUUUUGUCCGCUAUUUGCUUAAGAAGAAAUGACACCUAUAAAAUAAAGAAAUGAAAGUCAACAUCCAAACAGUCAUCUUACUGAAGUGAAAAUUGCUGGAUAGGCCAAAAGCAGUUUCCUUCUAUAUUCAGCCUGAACAGAGAAAAUGGGCAUCUCAAUCCUUGGAAAGCAAAAAAUUGAAAGGAAAACCUCUAUCUGUUUAAGACUGCAGAGAAGAAGAAAAAAAAUUAAUCUUCUUAAGCAAAGGAAGAUUAGAAAGGAAAUAUGUCUGAAGAGAAAUAUUGAUACAUACAGGCUUAUGUGUGACUAUAAAAGGUAGAGUAUGUGUAACUAAAAAAAUGUGACAUCAGAUUAUAUGGGAGGCAAAGAAAGAUAUUGUAAUUUUUCUAACAAUCUACCCAUAAAAGUUAAGCUUAUCAAAUAAUAAGAGCAAUUAUACCUAUUAGUAUGCAUGCAAGUAUUUGCUGGAACAGAGCAGUUAUGAAUAUUCAGAUGAUAAUCAAAUGCUUUAAAAUUCUAAAUAUUUAACUUACUAACUUGUUCUAGUUUCAUGUUUUCAUUUUCCAUAAGCUGUUUGCUGUUCAUUACUUGGUUUUUGUUAUAAAGCAGAUAUUUCACUGAUCUAUCAUGAAGUUCAAAUAAUGCUCUAUAAAGUCCAAGUAAUCAAUUUAUAAACAUUUUAUGAGAAAGCCACAGAAUAAUUGCCCAUCUCAUAAAGUUUGAAUUCCAAUGAACAGAAAAACAUCACAAGUUUUGGACAAGCUUGCACUUAACUGCGUUUAAUUUAAAGGUGCUAGAUGCACUAGUACCACUGAUUUGAAUUCCAAGAAAUCUGGCUUUCUUUGUGCAGGAAAAGAAUCUGUUUCACAUAUCUUUGGAUCACAAUGUUGAUUAAUGCUUGUCUUUUUUAUUUGGAGAAUUGUUUCAUCUUCUUUUCCUCUGGAGAGUCCUGAAUGGAAGAACAAGACUUCUUCUUCAGUAGGAAUGCACCUCAGUGUCCAGAAAGAUUCUGGUUUAGUCUGAAUGGGGAACAUGAUGAAUUUUAUGACCUAAGUAAAUGAUUCAUGAUAUGUAUGUCACAGAAUAGUGCCAAUAUAUCUAUUGUAUACAGGCGAAGCAAAACACAACUUGCAAUAUAAAUAAUAUUAAAGAUAUUUAAAUGCUCAUGGAGAAAGGUCAUAGAAUUUAAGUUAGCUUUUUCAGAAGAUGAGUUACAUUAUUAAAAAAUGCAAAUAUGCUAUGGGGAAAUGUGCAUAUGUGAGAAGUGCCCGUCCUCAUCUGUCUCUACAGCGAUAGCCUUGCUCAAAGAGCAGUGAUACCUUUCUGCAGAGAGAGAAAUCUCUCUACAUCAGCCUGCUAGUGGUACCUGAGCAAUAAACAUUUCUGUCACUGCAGAAGGGAAGCUACAGGGGCUGUGCCAUACAGUAGAUGAGCAUGCUUUCAUUGCAUGAAAUUUUGGUGUGGCCCUUUUUUGCAAAUGUCCGAUUAAUCCUUUCAUAGACUCUGCAUGCGCCUCAGAAUAAGUUUUCAAGGAAUACCUGAGAUCUCACUGUGGAGUCUUUCUGCACAACUCUCUUAUGCAUCGAUUUUAAGACAAUUUUGUAUCAGUGAGUGCUAAGGAGUGAAAGUAGAGACAACAACGUGUCUGUAAAUAAUUCAAAGAAACAGAACCAUUUCUGGGAAGUCUUUCCACCUUCUGAAGAUAUUACAAUCUUUGAUGCAGACUAGUUUAAAUAUGCAUUUUAAAAUCGCAUAAUGUAGUUACAUUCCAAAAAUAGAGAAAGGUGUAAACAGAAGUGUCAACCAGCCCUUCUGGCUCUAGAAAAGACACCUUGAAUUAAAGUGAGAGACUGAAAAAAGGACUGUCUGAGGAGGGAAAUGUCAAAAAAACAUGUCACAUGAGAGUGCAUCUUGCUGGUACUUGCAAGACUCAUCCUUAUCUCACAAGGAAAGAAGAUUAAGAACAGAGUGAGUCCAAUGGAGGUCAUCACAUGAUGUACAUUUUCCCCGGGAAGUGAGUGGCAAUAUCGGUGAACUCACAGCCCCACUCCUGAGUGUAGUAUGGCCUUUAAGAUGAGAGAAAAGAAAAUAUGAACAGCUCUUAAUAUUACAAGCAUUUGAGAGUGUUUCCAGCUUCAAAGUUCUGAAAUGAGAGUGGAAAGAACACAUCAACUGAGACAUAGCAGUUCCCAUUGCUGUCAGGUACCAGUAGACUAAUACAUCAAAUAAGUAAGUGAAUUACCAAGACAAUGCACUCUUCAAAAUUACAUUUGUAGUUGUAAAAGACAAUUUCUUUAUUUACCAAUAAACAAAAUAACCAAAAAUGGAUUUAUGGCUAUUAUGUAGGGUAAGAACAUCUCAGGCAGAAGCAAAACAUGUUUUAAGUGAAUACAUGUAUAGCCCCUCUUGCACUUCAACACUACUGCAAAUCAUUGAGCCAGUUCUUCAGCUGGUAGAAUUGACUUAGAUACUCUGAAUUUGCUUGGCCUACAUUUAUUUGCACAACACACGUCUGGCUUACUAUGUAAGUAGAUGUGGUCUGGGCUCAAAAGCAGAUAGUAAGAUUGUUGUCUGUUGAUUUAACCAUUGAUUUCUCAUGGAUCAGAUGAUGGGUUUGUGGAUCACUUUGGAAAAAAAAAAUCAAAACUUAUUUUUAUUAGCUUUUGUGCAAACACCAUAAAAUCUUACUGUUGUAAUGUUUGUAAAGUGGACCUGAGCCAAACCUUAUCAAGUUUCCCAUUGAUUUCAAUGGGUCUUAAAUCCAAGAGGGAAAUAACAUAAUCCUGUGUGAAGGGAAAGAAAUUUAGGUUUAGAUUUUAUGAACCUAAAAAUGAAAUUUUUUUUUAAUUUUUGCCAUUUUUAAUUGUAACUCACUAGUUUAUUUUAUAAGAGUUUAUAAGAAUUUAAAGUCACUUUAAUUGAUUGCUUUUACUUCCCUUUCCUCUUAGGGAAACAUCAUUACAAAAUUAGUCUUUUAUAGAUGGUGUGAGAAUAAGAACACAGAAAAAUUAUUGGAAAUACAAGGAAUUAUAAUGGAUUUUUAUAUGGAUAUUUGUUGUUGAAUAGCUGUUAUAAGCACUAAGGGAUGUUAAGGGGGAAAAAGAGAAGAAAUUGUACUAUUGUUUUUCAUCCAGCACAUUCUGUAUCAUAAUCAACAGAAUUUUCUUUGUUCAUUCUUUUUUUUUUGUUCAGUCUAUUGUUCCAGUUCCAGCUGUGUAACACUGCUAUAGCUCCAGAAAGAAUUUUAGUACAGUUUUCAGGGGCUAUCAACUUCAAUCUUAGAACCUAUUAUGUAAUAUUCAGUUGAUAUUUGCUUUCAUUAAAUACAGUUAGCAUUGGUUGCUCAUCCUGAGUAAAUAAGUAUUAUGUGUAUUUUAAGUUGUUAUUUAAUAUAUGCUGCAUAAACAUAUCUAUCAUUAGAGACCAGACUAAGUACAGCUUUUCUGCCUCUAUUAGUAAAUAUGAGUGACAGUUUUUUUCAAUUUUCCUUUGGACUCUUUUACUCAUUUUUUUACUCAUACUCAUACAGCAGCAAAUCCUUGAAAAUAGUUCACAGUAAGGAAUGUUAAAACUCAGAUAUUACAAUUAGACUAAAAAAAAAAGUCUGACCAGAGGCAAAUAAAUGAUUGACUUUAACAGAAAACCGGAAUACAGGGAAGCUUGCUGGAGCAGUGACACAGAGCAGGAAUACAAGGGUGUGAAGAAUGAGCAUGGUAUCAUAUAUAUAAGGUUAAUGAUAAAAUUUUAAAUAUUAGAUUUCUUUCAUAAAGAUAAAUAGAAGCAGAAGUUAAUGUAGACAUUAUGGGCUGAUCAUGUUUCCUGUAUAUGAUUUCCCUCUCCACUAAAAAAAUGAGAAUAGAAAGAAAAGGAAAAGAGAAGAGAAGAGAAGAGAAGAGAAGAGAAGAGAAGAGAAGAGAAGAGAAGAGAAGAGAAGAGAAGAGAACUAAAUUAAUAUUAUAGAUAAAUUAUUCCAAUUUAAACCAAAGAGUAGGGAAAAUACUGAGUUCUAUCAAAGAAUUAGGAAAGGUUUAACUCUGGAGCGGUUCAUGAAGAACUGCAGCCCUUCCCAGGGGAGGAUUUAUGUUGGGGAAGUUUUUUUAGUGGGUUAUUUAUCAUGGUAAGGAUCCCACACCAGAGCAGAGAAAGAAUGUGAGGAGUCCUCCCUCUGCAGAGAAAGG
Molecule: long non-coding RNA, 4786 nt
Organism: Passer domesticus (house sparrow)
Lineage: Eukaryota; Metazoa; Chordata; Aves; Passeriformes; Passeridae
Exons: 3
Source: RefSeq, a predicted model, not a curated record